GUAGGGGGGGCAAGCGUUGUCCGGAAUUAUUGGGCGUAAAGCGCGCGCAGGGCGGUCUCUUAAGUCCGAUGUGAAAGCCCACGGCUCAACCGUGGAGGGUCAUUGGAAACUGGGGGACUUGAGUGUAGGAGAGGAAAGUGGAAUUCCACGUGUAGCGGUGAAAUGCGUAGAUAUGUGGAGGAACACCAGUGGCGAAGGCGACUUUCUGGCCUACAACUGACGCUGAGGUGCGAAAGCGUGGGUAGCAAACAGGAUUAGAUACCCUGGUAGUCCACGCCGUAAACGAUGAGUGCUAGGUGUUAGGGGUUUCGAUGCCCUUAGUGCCGAAGUUAACACAUUAAGCACUCCGCCUGGGGAGUACGACCGCAAGGUUG
This 374-nucleotide ribosomal RNA is filed under the name uncultured organism. RNAcentral describes it as "partial 16S ribosomal RNA". It matches the Rfam family "Bacterial small subunit ribosomal RNA", at positions 525 to 896 of the family's 1533-position model. The record is from RNAcentral.